Molecule: ribosomal RNA, 498 nt
Filed under: uncultured bacterium
Lineage: Bacteria
Description: partial 16S ribosomal RNA
Rfam family: Bacterial small subunit ribosomal RNA
Source: RNAcentral
AUUGAACGCUGGCGGCAUGCCUUACACAUGCAAGUCGAACGGUAACAGGUCUUCGGAUGCUGACGAGUGGCGAACGGGUGAGUAAUACGUCGGAACGUGCCUAGUAGUGGGGGAUAACUACUCGAAAGAGUGGCUAAUACCGCAUGAGAUCUACGGAUGAAAGCAGGGGAUCGCAAGACCUUGUGCUACUAGAGCGGCCGAUGGCAGAUUAGGUAGUUGGGGGGAUAAAAGCUUACCAAGCCGACGAUCCGUAGCUGGUCUGAGAGGACGAUCAGACACACUGGGACUGAGACACGGCCCAGACUCCUACGGGAGGCAGCAGUGGGGAAUUUUGGACAAUGGGAGAAAGCCUGAUCCAGCAAUGCCGCGUGCAGGAUGAAGGCCUUCGGGUUGUAAACUGCUUUUGUACGGAACGAAAAGCCCCGGGUUAAUACCCUGGGGUCAUGACGGUACCGUAAGAAUAAGCACCGGCUUACUACGUGCCAGCCGCCGCCGUAA